This 495-nucleotide ribosomal RNA is filed under the name uncultured bacterium. Its description in RNAcentral is "partial 16S ribosomal RNA". It matches the Rfam family "Bacterial small subunit ribosomal RNA", at positions 28 to 507 of the family's 1533-position model. The record is from RNAcentral.
GACGAACGCUGGCGGCGUGCCUAAUACAUGCAAGUCGAACGCUGAAGGAGGAGCUUGCUUCUCUGGAUGAGUUGCGAACGGGUGAGUAACGCGUAGGUAACCUGCCUGGUAGCGGGGGAUAACUAUUGGAAACGAUAGCUAAUACCGCAUAAUAGUAGAUGUUGCAUGACAUUUACUUAAAAGAUGCAAUUGCAUCACUACCAGAUGGACCUGCGUUGUAUUAGGUAGUUGGUGGGGUAACGGCUCACCAAGGCGACGAUACAUAGCCGACCUGAGAGGGUGAUCGGCCACACUGGGACUGAGACACGGCCCAGACUCCUACGGGAGGCAGCAGUAGGGAAUCUUCGGCAAUGGACGAAAGUCUGACCGAGCAACGCCGCGGGAGUGGAGAAGGGUCUCGGAUCGUAAAGCUCGGUUGUAAGGGAAGAAAGAGUGUGAGAGUGGAAAGUUCACGCUGUGACGGUAUCUUACCAGAAAGGGACGGCUAACUACGUG